UCCUAGUUAACCUAGGCAGUCUCAUUAGAGUUCCCACCAUUACGUGUUGGCAACUAAUGACAAGGGUUGCGCUCGUUGCGGGACUUAACCCAACACCUCACGGCACGAGCUGACGACAGCCAUGCAGCACCUGUGCAGAGACCCCGAAGGGAAAUAUAAUCUCUUAUAUCGUCCUCUGCAUGUCAAGUCUGGGUAAGGUUCUUCGCGUUGCAUCGAAUUAAACCACAUACUCCACUGCUUGUGCGGGUCCCCGUCAAUUCUUUUGAGUUUCACCCUUGCGAGUGUACUCCUCAGGCGGUAUACUUAUCGCGUUAGCUACGACACAACUGGGGUUGAGUCCAGUUACAUCUAGUAUACAUCGUUUACGGCAAGGACUAC
This 378-nucleotide unclassified non-coding RNA is filed under the name uncultured Chlamydiales bacterium. Its description in RNAcentral is "contains 16S-23S intergenic spacer region". Lineage: Bacteria; Pseudomonadati; Chlamydiota; Chlamydiia; Chlamydiales. The record is from RNAcentral.